AUUGAACGCUGGCGGCAUGCCUUACACAUGCAAGUCGAACGGUAACGCGGGGCCACCUGGCGACGAGUGGCGAACGGGUGCGUAAUGCAUCGGAACGUGCCCAGAAGUGGGGGAUAGCCCGGCGAAAGCCGGAUUAAUACCGCAUGAGACCUGAGGGUGAAAGCGGGGGAUCGCAAGACCUCGCGCUUUUGGAGCGGCCGAUGUCAGAUUAGCUAGUUGGUGGGGUAAAGGCCUACCAAGGCGACGAUCUGUAGCUGGUCUGAGAGGACGACCAGCCACACUGGGACUGAGACACGGCCCAGACUCCUACGGGAGGCAGCAGUGGGGAAUUUUGGACAAUGGGCGCAAGCCUGAUCCAGCCAUGCCGCGUGCGGGAAGAAGGCCUUCGGGUUGUAAACCGCUUUUGUCAGGGAAGAAACGCUCUGGGCUAAUACCCUGGGGUAAUGACGGUACCUGAAGAAUAAGCACCGGCUAACUACGUG
This 482-nucleotide ribosomal RNA is filed under the name uncultured bacterium. RNAcentral describes it as "partial 16S ribosomal RNA". It matches the Rfam family "Bacterial small subunit ribosomal RNA", at positions 29 to 507 of the family's 1533-position model. The record is from RNAcentral.